AGUUUGAUCAUGGCUCAGAUUGAACGCUGGCGGCAGGCUUAACACAUGCAAGUCGAACGGUAGCAGGAGGAAGCUUGCUUUCUUGCUGACGAGUGGCGGACGGGUGAGUAAUGCUUGGGAAUCUGGCUUAUGGAGGGGGAUAACUACUGGAAACGGUAGCUAAUACCGCGUAAUAUCGUAAGAUUAAAGGGUGGGACUUUCGGGCCACCUGCCAUAAGAUGAGCCCAAGUGGGAUUAGGUAGUUGGUGGGGUAAAGGCCUACCAAGCCUGCGAUCUCUAGCUGGUCUGAGAGGAUGGCCAGCCACACUGGAACUGAGACACGGUCCAGACUCCUACGGGAGGCAGCAGUGGGGAAUAUUGCACAAUGGGGGGAACCCUGAUGCAGCCAUGCCGCGUGAAUGAAGAAGGCCUUCGGGUUGUAAAGUUCUUUCGGUGAUGAGGAAGGUGUUUUGUUUAAUAGACAAGGCAAUUGACGUUAGUCACAGAAGAAGCACCGGCUAA
This 501-nucleotide ribosomal RNA is filed under the name Bibersteinia trehalosi. RNAcentral's name for it is "bacterial SSU rRNA". It matches the Rfam family "Bacterial small subunit ribosomal RNA", at positions 10 to 500 of the family's 1533-position model. The record is from RNAcentral. Lineage: Bacteria; Pseudomonadati; Pseudomonadota; Gammaproteobacteria; Pasteurellales; Pasteurellaceae.